This 481-nucleotide ribosomal RNA is filed under the name Corynebacterium matruchotii. RNAcentral describes it as "bacterial SSU rRNA". It matches the Rfam family "Bacterial small subunit ribosomal RNA", at positions 28 to 499 of the family's 1533-position model. Lineage: Bacteria; Bacillati; Actinomycetota; Actinomycetes; Mycobacteriales; Corynebacteriaceae. The record is from RNAcentral.
GACGAACGCUGCCGGCGUGCUUAACACAUGCAAGUCGAACGAAAGGCCCCCACCUUUUUUGGUGGGGUGCUCGAGUGGCGAACGGGUGAGUAACACGUGGUGAUCUGCCCUGCACUUCGGGAUAAGCUUGGGAAACUGGGUCUAAUACCGGAUAGGACCAUGGUUUAGUGUCUCAUGGUGGAAAAAUUAUUGUUUUGGUGCAGGAUGAGCUCGCGGCCUAUCAGCUUGUUGGUGGGGUAAUGGCCUACCAAGGCGUCGACGGGUAGCCGGCCUGAGAGGGUGGACGGCCACAUUGGGACUGAGAUACGGCCCAGACUCCUACGGGAGGCAGCAGUGGGGAAUAUUGCACAAUGGGCGCAAGCCUGAUGCAGCGACGCCGCGUGGGGGAUGACGGCCUUCGGGUUGUAAACUCCUUUCGUUAGGGACGAAGCCACGCCUUUUUUGGGUGUGGUGACGGUACCUUUGUUAAGAAGCACGGCUA